This is a ribosomal RNA of Panthera pardus (leopard), 120 nucleotides long. The record is from Ensembl. Lineage: Eukaryota; Metazoa; Chordata; Mammalia; Carnivora; Felidae.
GUCUACGGCCAUACCACCCUGAACGCACCCGAUCUCGUCUGAUCUCGGAAGUUAAGCAGGGUCGGGCCUGGUUAGUACUUGGAUGGGAGAAAUGCAACCACUUGGGCCCUACCCUAGACC